GACCAGACUCCUACGGGAGGCAGCAGUGGGGAAUAUUGCACAAUGGGGGAAACCCUGAUGCAGCGACGCCGCGUGAGCGAUGAAGUAUUUCGGUAUGUAAAGCUCUAUCAGCAGGGAAGAAGAUGACGGUACCUGACUAAGAAGCCCCGGCUAACUACGUGCCAGCAGCCGCGGUAAUACGUAGGGGGCAAGCGUUAUCCGGAUUUACUGGGUGUAAAGGGAGCGUAGACGGCGGCGCAAGCCAGAUGUGAAAGCCCGGGGCUCAACUCCGGGACUGCAUUUGGAACUGUGUGGCUGGAGUGUCGGAGAGGCAGGCGGAAUUCCUAGUGUAGCGGUGAAAUGCGUAGAUAUUAGGAGGAACACCAGUGGCGAAGGCGGCCUGCUGGACGAUGACUGACGUUGAGGCUCGAAAGCGUGGGGAGCAAACAGGAUUAGAUACCCCGGUA
Molecule: ribosomal RNA, 446 nt
Filed under: uncultured bacterium
Lineage: Bacteria
Description: bacterial SSU rRNA
Rfam family: Bacterial small subunit ribosomal RNA
Source: RNAcentral